AUGCAGUCGAACGAGAGAAGAGAAGCUUGCUUUUCUGAUCUAGUGGCGGACGGGUGAGUAACACGUGAGCAAUCUGCCUUUCAGAGGGGGAUACCGAUUGGAAACGAUCGUUAAUACCGCAUAAUAUAAUUGAACCGCAUGAUUUGAUUAUCAAAGAUUUAUCGCUGAAAGAUGAGCUCGCGUCUGAUUAGCUAGUUGGUAAGGUAACGGCUUACCAAGGCGACGAUCAGUAGCCGGACUGAGAGGUUGAUCGGCCACAUUGGGACUGAGACACGGCCCAGACUCCUACGGGAGGCAGCAGUGGGGAAUAUUGCACAAUGGAGGAAACUCUGAUGCAGCGAUGCCGCGUGAGGGAAGAAGGUUUUAGGAUUGUAAACCUCUGUCUUCAGGGACGAAAAAAGACGGUACCUGAGGAGGAAGCUCCGGCUAACUACGUGCCAGCAGCCGCGGUAAUACGUAGGGAGCGAGCGUUGUCCGGAAUUACUGGGUGUAAAGGAAGCGUAGGCGGGAUCGCAAGUCAGAUGUGAAAACUAUGGGCUUAACCCAUAAACUGCAUUUGAAACUGUGGUUCUUGAGUGAAGUAGAGGUAAGCGGAAUUCCUAGUGUAGCGGUGAAAUGCGUAGAUAUUAGGAGGAACAUCAGUGGCGAAGGCGGCUUACUGGGCUUUAACUGACGCUGAGGCUCGAAAGCGUGGGGAGCAAACAGGAUUAGAUACCCUGGUAGUCCACGCCGUAAACGAUGAUUACUAGGUGUGGGGGGACUGACCCCUUCCGUGCCGCAGCAAACGCAAUAAGUAAUCCACCUGGGGAGUACGACCGCAAGGUUGAAACUCAAAGGAAUUGACGGGGGCCCGCACAAGCAGUGGAGUAUGUGGAUUAAUUCG
This 883-nucleotide ribosomal RNA is filed under the name uncultured bacterium. Its description in RNAcentral is "bacterial SSU rRNA". It matches the Rfam family "Bacterial small subunit ribosomal RNA", at positions 55 to 953 of the family's 1533-position model. The record is from RNAcentral.